This is a non-coding RNA of Echinostoma caproni, 82 nucleotides long. NCBI's taxonomy places the organism in Eukaryota, Metazoa, Platyhelminthes, Trematoda, Plagiorchiida, Echinostomatidae. The record is from Rfam.
GGCCUCGUAACUCAGCUGGUAGAGCAUGCGCGUACAAAGCGUAGGCGGCGUCUAUGCGUGGGUUUGAAUCCCACCGAGGCUA